AGGAUGAACGCUGGCGGCGUGCUUAACACAUGCAAGUCGUAGCGAAAGCAUUAAAACAGAUUUCUUCGGAUUGAAAGUUUCUAAUCGACUGAGCGGCGGACGGGUGAGUAACGCGUGGGUGACCUGCCUCAUACAGGGGGAUAACAGACAGAAAUCGUCUGCUAAUACCGCAUAAGCGCACAGUGCUGCAUCGGCACCGUGUGAAAAACUCCGGUGGUAUGAGAUGGACCCGCGUCUGAUUAGCUAGUUGGUAAGGUAACGGCUUACCAAGGCGACGAUCAGUAGCCGGCCUGAGAGGGUGAACGGCCACAUUGGGACUGAGACACGGCCCAAACUCCUACGGGAGGCAGCAGUGGGGAAUAUUGCACAAUGGGGGAAAGCCUGAUGCAGCAACGCCGCGUGAAGGAUGAAGGGUUUCGGCUCGUAAACUUCUAUCAAUAGGGACGAAAAAAAAUGACGGUACCUAAAUAAGAAGCCCCG
RNAcentral lists this ribosomal RNA (480 nucleotides) under uncultured bacterium. RNAcentral describes it as "bacterial SSU rRNA". It matches the Rfam family "Bacterial small subunit ribosomal RNA", at positions 26 to 495 of the family's 1533-position model. The record is from RNAcentral.